RNAcentral lists this long non-coding RNA (1262 nucleotides) under Heterocephalus glaber (naked mole-rat). RNAcentral's name for it is "lncRNA (ENSHGLG00100050879.1)". The record is from RNAcentral. Lineage: Eukaryota; Metazoa; Chordata; Mammalia; Rodentia; Bathyergidae.
GCUGCAUAUUCUCUUUUAGCUAAGAGCUUACCGUGUAAUUCAUCCUACCCAAAAAGUGUUAUAAUAAAUGCAAAAAGAACUCUGGAUUCCAUAGUGAGACAGGCUGGUGUUUCUGUUCCAAUAGCCAUGGAGCUCUCUCAGCGUCACUGUCCUCAGAACCCAACCGGGUGUCCGCCCUUAGGUGUCACAGUCGGCGAACCGUCCUCUGUGGCUGAUCCGGAGAGCACAGAGAGGAUAAAUAUGAAAUCCAAAAAGGGUAUUUGAAGUUCAAACUUCUAGGUGUAGAAAACAGGCUGAUGAAAUUGCUCACUACAGCCACGGGAUAUGCUUCUGUCGUGAGAGAAGAUCAUGAGCCUUUCUAUAGAGCAACAGUGGUUUGAAUGGAGAGACAUCUUUCGAUUUUAAAGAUAUACAAGUAACAGCCACGGGAGCUGGGAGGAUACUGAAAGGGCUAAGCUGUGCGGAUUUCUCCCAGAAGGCCUCGAGGGGAACACCCAGUAAUUAAACAGAGCAAUCCGGGAACUUGGAGUCUUCCAUGUGGCUCCUGGUGGCUCCACCCUCUUCCAAAGCCAACGCCCACCAAGCCUGACUCUGUAUCAAUUUCAGUAGCAUUCUUUCUUCACCGAAGAAAAGCAAAGAGACACAGAACGCUGAGUAAAUUUGUGGGCGAUCUGUUUGCUGUUCUAAAGAGAAAGUAAAUAUUUGUGGCAUUUAUGAAGCCGGCUACAGAAUCCUGUAACUGAAGAAUGAAGCUCUCCGUGGCAUUUUUUUUUCUGCAUAAACAGCUGGCUCUGGGAUGGAAGUUUGGCUGAAACAUUUUUACCUUCUUAGAUACCGUGUUUACUUUGAGCGAAGCGAGGAGUCUGCGCAGCCUGGAGAUGACAUCUGUUUCCGCAGCUUGGAAGGCUUCUACUCCAGCUGCUGCCCGGAAAAGGAGGCGGGCACUUCUUCAGGGCAGUGGAAAAACACAGCUUUGAAAAUUCCGUGACAUAAAGGCUCCCUACAUAAGAGUAGUGAAUAGAAGAAUGAACCAAGUGAUUUACUCACAGUUGUUAUCUAUAACAUUAUUAGCACUAUCACUUUUCAUUUUCUCAGUCUGCAUAAAUAAAAUCCGAGUCUAAGUGUAAUAGCGGCGCGUGCAUUUUGCAUGUGUCCGCUAACUGGCUUGCAAUCACUUCAUAAACGGUUGCCUGCCGUCUUCUCUUCCUCCACUCUUCUUUUGGGGCUGCAUUUUUAGCACUUCAAUUUUCUGUACUUGUUCU